CAAGUCGAGCGGCAGCGCGGGGGCACCCUGGCGGCGAGCGGCGGACGGGUGAGGAAUUCCUCGGAAUCUGCCUUUUUGUGGGGGAUAACGUAGGGAAACUUACGCUAAUACCGCAUACGACCUACGGGUGAAAGUGGGGGACCGCAAGGCCUCACGCAGAAAGAUGAGCCGACGACCGAUUAGCUAGUUGGUAGGGUAAAGGCCUACCAAGGCGACUAUCGGUAGCUGGUCUGAAAGGAUGAUCAGCCACCCUGGGACUGAGACACGGGCCAAACUCCUACGGGAGGCAGCAGUGGGGAAUAUUGGACAAUGGGCGCAAGCCUGAUCCAUCCAUGCCGCGUGUGUGAAUAACGCCUUCGGAUUGUAAAGCACUUUUGUCCGGAAAGAAAUCCUUCAACUUAAUACGUUGGGGGGAUGACGGUACCGGAAGAAUAAGCACCGGCUAACUUCGUGCCAGCAGCCGCGGUAAUACGAAGGGUGCAAGCGUUACUCGGAAUUACUGGGCGUAAAGCGUGCGUAGGCGGUUCGUUAAGUCUGACGUGAAAUCCCCGGGCUCAACCUGGGACGUGCGUUGGAAACUGGCGAUCUAUAGUACGGUAGAGGGUGGUGGAAUUCCCGGUGUAGCAGUGAAAUGCUUACAGAUCGGGAGGAACACUCGUGGCGAAGGCGGCCACCUGGACCAGUACUGACGCUGACGCACGAAAGCGUGGGGAGCAAACAGGAUUAUAUACCCUGGUAGUCCACGCCCUAAACGAUGCGAACUGGAUGUUGGGCUCACUUCGGAGCUCAGUAUCUAAGCUAACGCGUUAAGUUCGCCGCCUGGCGAGUACGGUCGCAGACUGAUACUCACAGGAAUUGACAG
RNAcentral lists this ribosomal RNA (862 nucleotides) under uncultured bacterium. RNAcentral's name for it is "bacterial SSU rRNA". It matches the Rfam family "Bacterial small subunit ribosomal RNA", at positions 58 to 916 of the family's 1533-position model. The record is from RNAcentral.